CCUACGGGUGGCAGCAGUGGGGAAUAUUGGACAAUGGGCGAAAGCCUGAUCCAGCCAUGCCGCGUGUGUGAAGAAGGCCUUCGGGUUGUAAAGCACUUUCAGUGGGGAAGAAAGCCUUGGGGCUAAUACCCUCGAGGAAGGACAUCACCCACAGAAGAAGCACCGGCUAACUCCGUGCCAGCAGCCGCGGUAAUACGGAGGGUGCGAGCGUUAAUCGGAAUUACUGGGCGUAAAGCGCACGUAGGCGGUCUGAUAAGCCGGUUGUGAAAGCCCCGGGCUCAACCUGGGAACGGCAUCCGGAACGGUCAGGCUAGAGUGCAGGAGAGGAAGGUAGAAUUCCCGGUGUAGCGGUGAAAUGCGUAGAGAUCGGGAGGAAUACCAGUGGCGAAGGCGGCCUUCUGGACUGACACUGACGCUGAGGUGCGAAAGCGUGGGUAGCAAACAGGAUUAGAUACCCCGGUAGUC
This 465-nucleotide ribosomal RNA is filed under the name Vreelandella stevensii. RNAcentral describes it as "partial 16S ribosomal RNA". It matches the Rfam family "Bacterial small subunit ribosomal RNA", at positions 338 to 795 of the family's 1533-position model. Lineage: Bacteria; Pseudomonadati; Pseudomonadota; Gammaproteobacteria; Oceanospirillales; Halomonadaceae. The record is from RNAcentral.